Helicoverpa zea (corn earworm) is the source of this 1281-nucleotide long non-coding RNA. RefSeq lists it as uncharacterized. The record is from RefSeq and is a predicted model, not a curated record. Lineage: Eukaryota; Metazoa; Arthropoda; Insecta; Lepidoptera; Noctuidae. The transcript is spliced from 3 exons.
GUUAUUACUAGGUGCAUGCGAGCUGCUUAUACAAACAAACUCUUCAGCUUUUUAAUAUUAGGUAGUUCACAUAGAUUUCCUACAUUGUGAAUCUAUUUCCAAUAAUAGUCCAGUCGUAGAGCAAUAAAGUGAAAAUAACUUUUCGAUUUGAAAUAUUUUAAACCCGAUAGAAAAAUAUUAUUCUGGGAAUUUGUGCAAGGCUUUGAAUAUGAAGAAAGAAAACUUAUUUAUUGACACAAACCAUACAUACACAUAGAAACAACAAAAAAAAACAAAAUAAAAGAACAAAAGGUUGCGUCAAAUAGGUCUAGUUCAGCAUUAUGCCAGACAGCUAGUGUCUGACGCUGGUUUUCAACUGGACCUAUGCGGAGUUACGGAUGUCCAUCGGUAUGAACUGAUUUAUGCUCUAUAGAAAAAAAUAAUAAAACUACUAAACUAUGUACUAUUUAAAAAAGAAAAAAAAAGAAACGUAAAUCAUAAUCAGAAGGAUUAGUCACAAAAAAUAAAUAAAAAUAAAAAGUGGAGGUAAACGUAAAUAAAUUCAUACCGUGACUAAUCGCAAUCCUGAGGAAGCAUCGCUCAGUGACGAUUUUAUUUCACACAGAUGAAAUGUUACAGUGUGCACACAUUCAAAGAGCCGUAACUGGUUGCGACCUCUGUUAUUAUUGCUCAGCGUGCCACCGAUCAUUGCCGACAUAUAUUAAUGAAGAACACAGACAAGCAAUUAUAAAUUGUGAAAUUGUGCAAAAUCAUAAAACAGUUUUUUUUUGUUAGUUGCCAGCAGUCCACAUUGGGUACCUACCCUACGUUCUUGAGAGAAAAAAAAAGUAUAUUUGGUAAUAAUAGCAUUCAGGCGAAGGUACAUAAGAUGUUUGCAAGUGCAAAGUCUACUUCCCUGUACAGAAAUGAUCACCGUGCACCACGUACACGCCGUAGGGUGCACCUAUUUCCAGAAGGCCAUACCCACAAGGCCUCCAGACAUGGCGCACCCAUAACGCAUCAUGGCCGGUGACCCGAGAGAGACCAGGAGUACUCAAUUUAAGCUGUGAGAAUACACUACCCACAUUACAUACACAUUAGCCUCACGCAUUGUCAUAAAACUACAAUAGUAAUAUGUUUUACCAGUUAUAACAAAUACGCAGUAUUUUAGGAGUUUGAAAUAAAAUGUAUUUUUAUAGGUACAGCUAGAAUUUCCUAAGUAGAGAAUAUCCAUUGAAAAAAAUGAAAAUGAUUGUAUUGAAAAUUGUUUGUUAUUUUUAGAAUUCAUUGGAAUGUGUCUCA